ACGAUCGCUGGCGGCGUGCUCAAACAUGCAAGAAAAACGGAUCUCAGUCCGCAAGGACUGAGGUGAGUGGCGAACUGCUCAGUAACACGUAGGUGACCUGCCCCGGAGCGGGGGAUAACACCUCGAAAGAGGUGCUAAUACCGCAUGUGACCACCGAUCCAUUUCGGUGCUCAAAGUCGCAAGACGCUCUGGGAGGGGCCUGCGGCGGAUUAGCUAGUUGGUGUGGUAACGGCGCACCAAGGCUUCGAUCCGUAGCUGGUCUGAGAGGAUGGCCAGCCAGACUGGGACUGAGACACGGCCCAGACUCCUACGGGAGGCAGCAGUGGG
This 327-nucleotide ribosomal RNA is filed under the name uncultured bacterium. RNAcentral's name for it is "bacterial SSU rRNA". It matches the Rfam family "Bacterial small subunit ribosomal RNA", at positions 29 to 358 of the family's 1533-position model. The record is from RNAcentral.